AAAUUUGAAUAUUCCAAAUAUUCCAGGAAGACUCCUGAAGCCUUCCUUGUGCCCUUUCUGUCACAACAUUCCAGGUCUCUAAGGCAAAUAGUCAUUGUAAUAGUGGUUUUGACUGUAAUUUUUGUUUUACAUUCACAGGUCUGUCAGGAAUGACUGUGUCCAGAUAGCAGAGUGAUGAAGUGAUCUUGUUGUCACAGCACUUUUGCUUCUAAGCCUGGAAGCAGUCUGGAACUCAGCGAUGAAGAUUGUGAAUAAAGAAAAUUCAUAUUUUUUAAAUGAAUGAACAAAAACCUAAAGUGAUUUUAGGGUGACAGAUUUCCAACCAUAUGCACUUCACCUUCCAACUCCUCUGUGACCUCCUGGUUGUCACAGAAUCUUCUGAUCCAGUAGGGUGCCUACACGGAUGUUCUGGAGACCUACACGAUGUCUGGGUUGCUGCCAAUGACUCUGAGGGAGUCUGGAGACUGUCCUUCGGUUUUUAUGUCAGCCAUCAUAAUGACAACAGAGGCUCAGAUCCAGCUGAAGAGUCCAGAUGGAGUGUAAUGAAGGAUGAGCAUCCUCACCGCCCUUUGCUCUUCACUAAGCCUAUGUCUAUCAAAGGUAAAUGUGCUCCUGUUUCAUAUGGGCUUAAAAGGUUUCAAAGCUAUUUGAGUUUG
RNAcentral lists this long non-coding RNA (656 nucleotides) under Rattus norvegicus (Norway rat). Its description in RNAcentral is "long non-coding RNA NONRATT032741". The record is from RNAcentral. Lineage: Eukaryota; Metazoa; Chordata; Mammalia; Rodentia; Muridae.